UCUUCGGAGGCACCUGCACAGGUGCUGCAUGGCUGUCGUCAGCUCGUGUCGUGAGAUGUUGGGUUAAGUCCCGCAACGAGCGCAACCCUUAUCCCCAGUUGCCAUCAGGUAAAGCUGGGAACUCUGGGGAGACUGCCGGUGAUAAACCGGAGGAAGGCGGGGAUGACGUCAAGUCCUCAUGGCCUUUAUGACCAGGGCUACACACGUACUACAAUGGCCGGUACAAAGGGCAGCCACUUAGCGAUAAGGAGCCAAUCCCGUAAAGCCGGUCUCAGUCCGGAUUGGAGUCUGCAACUCGACUCCAUGAAGUUGGAAUCGCUAGUAAUCGCAGAUCAGCACGCUGCGGUGAAUACGUUCCCGGGCCUU
Molecule: ribosomal RNA, 366 nt
Filed under: uncultured Desulfocapsa sp.
Lineage: Bacteria; Pseudomonadati; Thermodesulfobacteriota; Desulfobulbia; Desulfobulbales; Desulfocapsaceae
Description: bacterial SSU rRNA
Rfam family: Bacterial small subunit ribosomal RNA
Source: RNAcentral